CAGUCGCCACGGGAAUACGGAGGGAGCUAGCGUUGUUCGGAAUUACUGGGCGUAAAGCGCGCGUAGGCGGUUACUCAAGUCAGAGGUGAAAGCCCGGGGCUCAACCCCGGAACUGCCUUUGAAACUAGGUGACUAGAAUCUUGGAGAGGUCAGUGGAAUUCCGAGUGUAGAGGUGAAAUUCGUAGAUAUUCGGAAGAACACCAGUGGCGAAGGCGACUGACUGGACAAGUAUUGACGCUGAGGUGCGAAAGCGUGGGGAGCAAACAGGAUUAGAUACCCCAGUAGUCCCUGUCUCUUAUAC
This 301-nucleotide ribosomal RNA is filed under the name uncultured bacterium. RNAcentral describes it as "partial 16S ribosomal RNA". It matches the Rfam family "Bacterial small subunit ribosomal RNA", at positions 509 to 807 of the family's 1533-position model. The record is from RNAcentral.